UAUAGCAAUUUUAAAUGUUUAUUAAGCAUGUACCUAUAAAGCUCUUAUGUUUCAUGAUGCAAUGUUUAUCAAAAAUUCGGACGUCAUUUUUGCAAACAAAACAGUAAAAUGAAAAUGAAAACAGAGAUAUACUGAAUAACAUGAUUUUAUUGAUUGAAUGGCCUCUGAAUAGGCAUUUAGAUCAGGAAGCAAUCCCUGGAAAGAGG
RNAcentral lists this long non-coding RNA (206 nucleotides) under Lathyrus oleraceus (garden pea). RNAcentral's name for it is "Pisum sativum (pea) long non-coding RNA (PSAT_LNC003976)". The record is from RNAcentral. Lineage: Eukaryota; Viridiplantae; Streptophyta; Magnoliopsida; Fabales; Fabaceae.